GUGAUGAUGAGGAAGAUACUGCAGGUGGACGGAGGGCUUCAAGGGGAAUUGCAGGAAGGGAAAGUGUAUCAGGACGGAAGCCACUUCCAGUUCGUCCAGGCAUGUUUCUAGAAACCGUAUCUAAGGUCCUAGGUGGAAUAUAUGCUGGAACCGAAUCAGGUGUCACUGCACAACAUUUAGAAUGGGUACAUCAGAAGACACUUCACAUUCUUGAGGAAAUAGCAUUCUAGUCUUUGUGUGCUAUCAUCAAGG
Molecule: unclassified non-coding RNA, 252 nt
Filed under: Hevea brasiliensis (rubber tree)
Lineage: Eukaryota; Viridiplantae; Streptophyta; Magnoliopsida; Malpighiales; Euphorbiaceae
Source: RNAcentral